UUAAGUUCAGCGGGUAUCCCUACCUGAUUUGAGGUCAAAUUGUCAAAAUUGUCCAAGUCAAUGGACGGUUAGAAGCUGAACUUCAUAAAACUGCUUCACAUCCACGGCGUAGAUAAUUAUCACACCAAUAGACGGUCCACAAAAGUUCCACUAAUGCAUUUAAGGAGAGCUGACCUCAUUAAUGAAGCCCACAACCCCAC
RNAcentral lists this unclassified non-coding RNA (200 nucleotides) under Laccaria sp. Its description in RNAcentral is "partial internal transcribed spacer 2". The record is from RNAcentral. Lineage: Eukaryota; Fungi; Basidiomycota; Agaricomycetes; Agaricales; Hydnangiaceae.